Molecule: long non-coding RNA, 4915 nt
Filed under: Elaeis guineensis (African oil palm)
Lineage: Eukaryota; Viridiplantae; Streptophyta; Magnoliopsida; Arecales; Arecaceae
Description: long non-coding RNA (EGUI_LNC010733)
Source: RNAcentral
GGUGUGUAUCUUGAAGGAAAAAGGUAAGUUCAAAGUAUAAGAGAUGUUUCAGGGAAGUCCCUGAAUCUUUUCUUGUCUCUCCCUCAAAUACCCUCCUUACCUCCCUCUUGAUCCUCUGUUUCUGUCUUCUUUCCUCUUUGUAACUGUUUCUUUCCUUUUCUCUCCCGAUCCAGGAAAAAGAUAUAACUGCUUUCAUGUCUCUAUGAAGAUGAUGGGAAAACAUCUUUAUGUUCAAAUAAUAAUAAUAAUGGAGAUCCCGCUAUUUUUCCCCUGAAAAAUGGUAUUUCUUCAUUGUUUAUGAAUUCAGGAAGAUAUCUUUGAAAUUUUAUGGAAGAGGCUGCAUCUGUAAAGUAUGAGGAAAAUAUGUAAAUGUAUUUUUAUAUCAUUUGAUAUUCUUUUAAUAAUAUAUUUAAGUUUUUAAUAUGUCACAGAUCCAACCAACAGAUCGAGUGGUUGGAACAGUGACCUAGCGAUCUAGUCCCUUGGCCAGUUUGUUGUCCAGUCCAGGUUUGAUAACCAUGGUUGUAGAUGAAGCAAAAAAGAACAACAAUAGAAUAAAACAAUGAUGACAAAUUAAUAGUGAUGAAAUAUACAUCCUACGUUAAUAGCACUUUGACACAAUGAUAGCAUUCAUGAUCACUUAUCAGCUAACAAUCACUUAGAAAGGCCAAAAGAUGCUCUCAAUACAACCUAUCACAUGACUGGAGACAUAUUUACCUAGAUCACAAGUUCAUAGAAGUGGAUGAUGCAAAAAUACUCAGACGAAAAAGAAGAGAAAACAAGGAAAAAUGGAAUAAAAAUAAUGAUACGAAGGAAUAGGAGAAAGAAAGAGCAGAAUCUGUUUAAACAGGUCAUGCAUUCCUAGUGUUGUCAAAAGUAGCUGCCCAGGCGGUCACCUAGGCACUUAAGUUGGCCGGGCUGCCUAGACUUUAAAUCCUAUUACUUAAGGUUUUCUUUUCCCACUUUUUCUUCCUAUAUGAGCCCCAUAUGAAGACGAAAGAUGGCAAUGAAAGCUACUACCAUCCAUGUAGCAACGGCCAUUGAUAGGUCAACCAGCAGCCACAAGUAGCAACAACAGUGAUUAUCACUAGUGCCAAGGUUUGUGGAUAUUUUUUCUUUCUUUAGGUCAAACUUCAUCUCCUUCUUCCCCUUUCGUUUUUCUCUCAUUUUGUUCUUCUCCUAACCCCUCUUCAUCUGACCAUUACUUUUCUUUUUUCCCCUAAUUUUUCCCCUUCAUUCUGCUUGCUUGCCUUUGUUCUGCUUGGUAGACUUUAUCCGUUUGCUGCCUCCUUGAUGGUUGUUGGUUGCAACCUACCCCCUCCUCCUGCAACCUGUUGGUCGUUGUAAUGGUAGCAAUACUGCAGCUACUCAUCUCAUAAAUUUUGGUAUUUGAAUUUCUAAGUGUGAAAAUAGGUCUUAUGCUGCCAAUAUUGAUGAACAAAGAGCAUACGUAUGAAUAUCCCCAUGCUUAUUUCUGCAUGUAAUCAAACCUAUUUACAAGAAAAACUUGGAAGGCUUUCCUUCCCAAGCGACCACCCAUGUAUCUAGGCUCCCACCUAGGCUACAUAGAGCUCUCUCUUUUUAGCUCUAAAUUUUGAAACUCCUUUCUCUGAGCCUUUCUAUGUCAAACAGCAAUCAUGGGUGGCUCAAACGGCUGAUAAGGGUUGAUGAAACUCUCUUAGAAACUCAAUUUAUGAAAGCAGAAGCUUGACUCAUCGGCCAGCUGAAGCCAACCACCAGAUUGCAUUUGGGAUAGACUAAGGCCUCAGUUGGCAUUGUCAUGGGUAGGAGAGCUGUUGUCUAAAGAGCUUUAAGACAGUAGAGGUCACCAGUAAAGCUUUCCAUAGAAAAACUUUUUAUUGUUUCUUAACUACAUUUCUAAAGUGCUAUAAAACUAUAAUACUUGAUAACCAAACAAAAAAAAAUGCUUUUAAUAUCAAGAAAUAACAAAUAAAGAACAUUGAAUAGUGCUUUCAAUUAUCUAACUAUUUAUAGUAAUUUAUAAAUUAUUUAUUUUGAUAUUUUAAUCAAAAUUACAAUAUAAAUAAUAAAUAUAAAUAUAAACAUGAUAUUAUUUUUAUAUUGGUAUUAUAAAUAUAAUAAUAAUAUGGUAUUAUUAUUUUAAUAUAGUAUUAUAAUAGUGUUAUAGAAGUACAUUAUUAUCAUAUAAUAAUAUAUAAUUGUAAUAUGAUGAUUAAAGCAUAAUAAAAAAUAAUAAUAAUAUAUUUUUAUAUUUUUAUUAUAUUAUAUUGUACUAACAAAAACCAUUAUUACAAAGUCUUGUUAAUUUUUAAAUUAUUUUUUAUAUUUUUUAUCUAAAUAAUAUAAUAAGUAAAAUUGUUACUUUUUAGGGGUGAUUACCGGGUAAUAAAGAACAUCGUAAUAGCAAACUACAUAAAUGUUUAACUUUGCUCACCCAUACAAAAUGGUAAUAAAAUUGUUCAUAUAUCCACAACCAUCGUAGCAACAUAAUUGUUCGCCUACAUUUCUCAAUAUCUAUGCUAUAAGCACAAUAUCCUAUAUAAACAAGUCAACUACUCAUAAGAAGAGUCACAAUACAAUCAAACAAUUAAUGUUUCACUCUGUUCCAUGCUCCUUCAUGUUGUUCAUCAAUCUCUAAAUAUCAUAAGGAGGUCAUCAUCAUAAAGCUGAAACCCAAAAUCCUUAAUUGCAUGAUUGUAGCAAUAAAAAGACACCAACUUAAAUGAUUAUGACAAUAAAAGUUUAAAAAAUUCCUGUUGCAAGGACUCAAAAAAAAAAAAAGAAAAGGCUUUCUGACGCAUCUCAAGCAGCAGUUUGGCAAAAAGCUCUAACUUGGAGCUUUUCCCUAAUGGACUUUUUUUCAACUUUUCGAGGAAGUAGAAAGCUGCUUCAAAAUUUUUAACAAACACAUCAAAAACAUCCAAAAGAGCUUCUAACCCUCCAAGAAAUGCUUUUUGGCCCCCCAAAAGCAAUGCCAAACAAGGCCUAAGAAGCUAGCAUAAAAACAACGAUAAUUACCAACUCGAACAUCAUAACUAUAAUAUCAAAUCCGAAUAAAUAGCAAAAUCAUUUACAUACUUGUAUCCACAUGAAACUCAAUUUUUCCUGAGUAGGCCUACCAAAUUGCGAUCAUUUAUAAACUAACAAAUCAUUUCACUUUCGGAGUAGCAAAGGACCAUAUAUCCCUUUUCCAUGAAGAACAGAUUCACCCAAAAAGCACAGAGAGAGGUCUCCUCAAUUCUAAAGCUUUGCCCACAACUCAACUGCUCAGCCAAAAAUUCUUCAAUUCCAAAUGUAAAACAGGGUUUGAAAUUCUUACAUUCCACCAUUCACCAACUUUAUUAUUUAAGCUAGCAUGUGUUGAACUCCUCUUCCUACAUGGUGAAUUUCUCUUUUUUUUCCCCUUCCCACAGUUUUUCAACAAGAUUCUAAGAAAGAACUAGAGAAACUAAAAAUACAAACUCCCAACAAAAGCAACAUUUUCAGUCAUUCUCCAAAUGACACUGAAAAAAUGGAUUGUGGCAUGAUUAAUCAUUAUGCUUGAGUCAAAAGUCCCUCUACCAUCUAAUUUUCAACCGGAAGGGAUAUAUCUCACCAUACUGAUGUAAGCAGUUAAAUGACUAGAUCCAUUCAUACUGCUACAUGCUGGAUUGUGAAGUUGACUUACUCAUGCAACAUUUCCAAAAUCAAGAUGCCAGAUGAUCUCACCUCAUAAAUGAAACAGUAGGAAUCUAUAUUAGCUCUCUCAGAGAUUAGUUUUCUAAAGCUCGUUGAGCUUCAAACCAGGCAAAAACAAUUAACUAUAUCAGUGCACCAGCACUAUUUAGACCACUAUUGAAAAGCUUGGAUUCUGUCAAAAGUUUAAAAACCAUAAUAGCUAUGUUCAGUUGUAGGUGUCAGCACAAACAUGAAGUGGCAGGCCAGUAUGGACAGCAAGAUACCAUCAUGAAGGCAUGAAAUUACUGAGAACUUUCAAGACCAUUGCUUAUAGAAGAAAGCAUAGAAUUCCUCCCGGUGGAUAGGAGCCCUGACCAUGAAGCUAGUCGUGACACUGAUUUCAGAGGCUUUAGUUCAUACAAGGCUCCCAGCAGACAGAUGACCGUCCUAAUUAUCCAUUUAAAUUACUAAGGUGCUCUUAAAAUGAUAAAUAAUGUACUGCAUCCUCCCAUUAGUAUCACGUUCUUAGCUUGGAGAAAAGUUCAACAAAUAACACAACCCUCCCACCCCCAAAAAACAAAAAAAAAAAGCACCAAAAGUGAAAAAACCAGAAGAAGAAGCUCCUAAGGGCUGCUAUAUCCAACAUGUAACAAUGGUAAGACCCUGGAAUAAUCUACAACGCACUCAGAUAAACUGAUGAAUAAGACAUAUAGCGGGCGCUGGCAUAUUUCUUAAGAAACUUACACAUUCAUGUCACUUUUUGUACUUCUAUUAAAAUAGUCUGCCACCAAGCAGACCUCACUAAAAUGUUCAAUAACAUAAAUAACACACUAACACAACAUGUUUGCAGCAGAAGCAAUCAUAAUCUUCAAUUAUGUAAAGAUCAAUUUAAAAAACAUUUUAUUAUGGUAAUUUGUUUGACCACCACCUUCUAAAAAAAGUAUGACUGACGAAAAGAACAGAUUAAGAGAGAGAGAGAGAGAAACAACAGCUAGUUACCAUAAAAUACCUCUAGUGAUUUUUGCCUUGUAAUAUCCAGUUUCAAGAUCAACAAGUUUGAACUCAACUCUUCCUGAAACCAGAAAAAUCAUAGUAAUAAAGAUUUAUUGCAAAGUGAAGUCUUCAUAAAUAAUAAAAUAUGGACCAAACAUGACAAUUCCCUGGAAGAAUAAUUACCUUGCUGUAAAACAUUUAUACUGCACAAUCACAAAGUUAAAUUGUUAACUGCUAAGAGGAAGUUGGUUGAAUGAAAUUCUGUCAGGUUCCACUUAUGAUC